GUAGAGGCUGUAUGGCUGAUGACAUUUUGAGGGCAGAGGCCAAGAAAGUUAAAUGUCCUCAAUAGAGGGGCGUCUGGGUGGCUCAGUCGAUUAAACGUUCGACUUUGGUUCAGGAGAUCGGAAGACCA
Molecule: long non-coding RNA, 128 nt
Organism: Herpailurus yagouaroundi (jaguarundi)
Lineage: Eukaryota; Metazoa; Chordata; Mammalia; Carnivora; Felidae
Exons: 3
Source: RefSeq, a predicted model, not a curated record